GCAGCCUGAUGCAGCGACGCCGCGUGAGGGAUGACGGCCUUCGGGUUGUAAACCUCUUUCAAUAGGGACGAAGCGCAAGUGACGGUACCUAUAGAAGAAGGACCGGCCAACUACGUGCCAGCAGCCGCGGUAAUACGUAGGGUCCGAGCGUUGUCCGGAAUUACUGGGCGUAAAGAGCUCGUAGGUGGUUUGUCGCGUUGUUCGUGAAAACUCACAGCUCAACUGUGGGCGUGCGGGCGAUACGGGCAGACUAGAGUACUGCAGGGGAGACUGGAAUUCCUGGUGUAGCGGUGGAAUGCGCAGAUAUCAGGAGGAACACCGGUGGCGAAGGCGGGUCUCUGGGCAGUAACUGACGCUGAGGAGCGAAAGCGUGGGGAGCGAACAGGAUUAGAUACCCUGGUAGUCCACGCCGUAAACGGUGGGUACUAGGUGUGGGUUUCCUUCCUUGGGAUCCGUGCCGUAGCUAACGCAUUAAGUACCCCGCCUGGGGAGUACGGCCGCAAGGCUAAAACUCAAAGAAAUUGACGGGGGCCCGCACAAGCGGCGGAGCAUGUGGAUUAAUUCGAUGCAACGCGAAGAACCUUACCUGGGUUUGACAUGCACAGGACGCCGGCAGAGAUGUCGGUUCCCUUGUGG
Molecule: ribosomal RNA, 636 nt
Filed under: Mycobacterium sp. So1Ps_536
Lineage: Bacteria; Bacillati; Actinomycetota; Actinomycetes; Mycobacteriales; Mycobacteriaceae
Description: bacterial SSU rRNA
Rfam family: Bacterial small subunit ribosomal RNA
Source: RNAcentral